CCCAAAUCAAAGGGUAUCACGUUCACCUGAAGUCUGUCACGUGGUCACUGAUUCCUUCUCGUAGAGAGACCCUGCGGGAAGUAUCCAUU
This 89-nucleotide ribosomal RNA is filed under the name Phytophthora colocasiae. RNAcentral describes it as "partial 18S ribosomal RNA". Lineage: Eukaryota; Oomycota; Peronosporomycetes; Peronosporales; Peronosporaceae. The record is from RNAcentral.